CGCUUUAUUAAUAUAAAGCUAUUAAAUACGUAUUUUCAUGUCAUAAACGAUCCAAAGGGGUACCAAUUAUUUGUAAAUAUAAAUAGACCUUUCUAGAGCUUAUUUUCACCCGUAAAAUCAUUUCACCAGUUUCUCUGCACGAAUACCGAGAGAAACCGAGCGGUGUUCUUCGUGUUCUUCAUAAUCAAACGAAGAUUUGAAGGCGUUAUUGGAGUCAGAAUCAAGCGUGCGAAUAGUCAAAUCGAAGAUAUCAAAGAGUAGA
RNAcentral lists this long non-coding RNA (262 nucleotides) under Daucus carota (carrot). Its description in RNAcentral is "long non-coding RNA (DCAR_LNC004915)". The record is from RNAcentral. Lineage: Eukaryota; Viridiplantae; Streptophyta; Magnoliopsida; Apiales; Apiaceae.